UGAAAAAGUAUCUUGAGUAAAUCCAUAUGCACAUCUCUUUUGACACGCUGCAUAUCAUAGUCUACGACUCAUAUGCCUCAACAAAGCCGUUGUGAAUGAUAUUCAUAACUGAAAUGUCAUGUCGCCAAUGUGUUUACAAGACGAGUUACACUUCAAACGUCAGCGGUCUGUGAUGUGGAGCUAUGAUUUUAAAUUGUUAGAGAGCAUUACUUUAAAUUAUUAACACUUAUUGCUUGGAAAAUAUAAUACAUCUGGAUAUACUUUACGUAUACUAUAUUACCUUAAGUAUACGCUGGUGGGACAUAAGUGAGGGAUCAUAAGUGAGGAUGAAAUUGGUCAGUUGGCCUAUUGUGAUGAAUCCCACAAGAAUUUACCACGAUGGUUUUUAGAUGGAAUCGUUUGAAGCUGGAAUGCUGCUGUAAACGGGCAGAGGGUGCAUUAAGCUAUCAUGCCAUCAACAUGGCCGUCUGGUUUCUUGAGCAAGCUCAGGAAUGUCUGCGAGGCGAGCCAGCAACCCGAGACGGAAGGAGCAGCGGCGGAAGCGGUGUACCAAGACACAUUUUUAUAUACAAAAGAACUUUUGUAAGACUAGAAGAUUCCAAGGGACGAUGAUCACAACGCGCAACCGUCUCGCUCCACUGUGCCGUGCAUCCUGCCCGAGUACAAAGUUUAAUUUUCCAAGUAUUUUUCCUUUCUUGAAACUUCGUUUUUGCAUAAUAAUAAAAGUUUGUGACAAAUGCAAAACAACAACUGAUAUUAUUAUUUAUAAACAACAUGACUCAUUUUCUCGCAAGAUAAAACAUUCUGAUUAAAUUACGUAAUUAUAAUUAAUCAUACAUAUUUUUUACUAACAUGUCUAGAAUUCAGAGAAAUAAUGUUUAGUAAUUGUUUGCAACUAAAGCUGAUUAAAAUGCAUAAUUUGUAUUUACUAUGGACACACAUUCCUCAAUACUGAAGCUGUAGGCUUUAUUGUGAUUUUAAAUUUGAUUUAUAGAUUUCUAUGGACUUAACGUGACUAAUAUUAGAAUUUGAAAAAAUAUUUGUAUGCUGUUUGUUACUUAAUCACAAUGAAAAGGCUAAACGUAUUUGAUUGAAAUUUGGACACAUAGAUGAUACACAGUACGUAUAUAUUACCUACAAUAGAUACAGAUACUCACGAAAAUAACAAAAUAAUUUUAAAUAGAUUAAAAAUAUUGAUUCUAACCUAAAUACUCGUAUUUAGUAGAAUUACAUACACUACAAAAUUUUACUACCAAGUACCGAACUAGAUUCUUAGAAUCAAAGAUAGAAACGCUACGUUUAAAAACUUAACCUAUUGUAGUUUUGUCUUCAAUAGAUGAUUCUUUAAAAAUUGAUUAAAAAUAUUUAUUCUAAUCUAAGUACUCGUAUUUCAUAGAAUUACAUUCACUACAAAAUUUGACUACGAACCACCUAAGUUCUUAAAAUCAAAAACUGAAUGCUACGUCUUAAAACUUAACAUAUUGUAGUUUUGUCUUCAAUAGGUAAUUCUUCGAAAAUUUAUUAAAAAAUAUUGAUUCUAACCUAAGUUACUCGUAUUUAGUAGAAUUACAGUUACUACAAAAUUUUACUACGAAGGACCGAACUAGGUUCUUAGAAUCAACGAUUGAACGCUUAGUCUUAAAACUUUACGUUUUGUAGUUUUGUCUUUAAUGGGUAAUUCUUCGAAAAUUUCAAAGUUGGUAACAAAUAUUAUUGCUAUUCAUUUCUUUUGUUUACUUCAUUUUGUAAACGCUUAAUAGCGUCAUAAAUUGCUCCUGACGAUUGUUGAUUAAACAAUUGAACGGGUCCCGCAUGUUUUGUUCGGCUCAAUGUAAACUGUUAUUGGAAAUCAAUUGACAUUGACUGAAUGCAUCAUUGGUUCAUUGUCAUAGUUUACUUUAUUAUUAUUUUGUAAAUUUUUCUCAAAAGGGGGGAAAAGAGGCUUCUUCAGGGUCGGCAACGCGCGCGUAAUAGCUCUGGUAUU
This is a long non-coding RNA of Galleria mellonella (greater wax moth), 1984 nucleotides long. RefSeq lists it as uncharacterized. Lineage: Eukaryota; Metazoa; Arthropoda; Insecta; Lepidoptera; Pyralidae. The transcript has 4 exons. The record is from RefSeq and is a predicted model, not a curated record.